This is a long non-coding RNA of Helianthus annuus (common sunflower), 1694 nucleotides long. RefSeq lists it as uncharacterized. The record is from RefSeq and is a predicted model, not a curated record. Lineage: Eukaryota; Viridiplantae; Streptophyta; Magnoliopsida; Asterales; Asteraceae. The transcript has 8 exons.
UGGGAGGGUAAUUUGAAAUUUCAAACUUUUAGGGACAUGAGAUUCGCAUUUAAUGUUAUCAGACCUUCAAUUCUUCUCUCUCUCAAAUAUCAAUUGAAACCAAAAUCCAAACCCAACAAACUCAAAAUUAGGGUUUCAAAAACACAAAUCAAAUAAAAAACAACAAAACGAGAGAUUUCUGCAACUCGAUAUCGAUUCACAGCUGGUACUCACUCUCUACUGGAUUAAUCACGUUUCUGGCCACAUUGUCUGUAUGGAUACUGCCAAGACAAGUUUGGGUGGGGAGCUCUCAAAUAUUGUUUGUAGGAUCAAUUGGGAAGAACCGCUCUAUUAUCUGGGAUUUUGUUCUUAAUGGUGGGGCUCUAUGCAGAUAGUGUUCUAAUGGUGGUUCAGUCAAGAACUCCACCGCCAUCGAUGAUGGGCUUUCCGAAUAUUCCAACGUCUUUUGAUGGUUAUUCCUGUCUACUGUUCAAAUUAGGACCGUUGCAGCUUACGAGAAAAGGGUUGUCUCUGGCGAGUACAACAACUUGCUUAACUUGUUCUUCCUCUCUGAAGAAAGCAUCCAGAUCCUUGAAAAGGAGAUUUUACAUUUAGAAAGUGUCCAACUUUUAGUUUCUACAGAUUCAAAGGAGUUGUUACAUAUUGUGUGUAAAAUGAAGCGAUUGAAUGGAGUUAGCAAACAAGAUACAAAACCGACACUAAUGUCGAAAGUAUGGGAAGACGAGAAUGAGAAAUAGCUUGAUCAUCAUAGGCUAGAGAAUAUUAAUUCGGAACAUUCAGAUGAGACAACUGAUCCAUCACCAGAUUUUGUUAUGACACUUUUACGGUACCAAAAAGAAUGGUUAGCAUGGGGAUUAAAACAAGAAGAGUCUGCUUCACGAUGUGGAAUUCUUGCCGAUGAAACGAGCACUUUGUCGUGAACUGUGAAGCAAUCAAACAGUGAAGCAAUCAAAACACUGAAAUCGUUACUGAAAGAAUGCCAACCGUUGACUCCAACAGGUCCCGAUCCAAAGUGGUGGUACAUGUGGAGGAUCGGUUCUCGACCAUCAACAACCAAGUUUCAGGUUCAGCAUAGUUUUUUGAUCACUUUAAUUAACCUAAUUAUUGGUUUCUUUGAUUAUAGGUGUUAAUUUGCAUUUUUUUUUUGUUUACGAGCUGAAUUCUGAGCCGGUUAUACCCGAGGGUUUUCCCGAAUGGAAGAGACUAUGGAUUCAUGGGGUUCUAAAAUGGUGUCCGCUAUAAAGCGGAGAACCCGUUUUUUCGUGUUUUAGUUUGAUAGUGAGAGCAUCGGUGCAUUUUUAGCUGCUUAUGCUCUCAAGAAGCUGGUUUAUGGUUGAUAUGAGAGUUGGAGUGCACAUUUCAGUUAACUCUACUUUCUUAUGUUCUGGUUUUCUUCUCGAUCUUUACUGCUAUGAACGGAAUUCCAUUGAUUAUUCCACUUUAGUGUUUUCUUCUCGAUCUUUACUGCUAUGAACGGAAUUCCAUUGAUGAUUCCACUUUAGUGUUUUCUUCUCGAUCUUUACUGCUAUGAACGGAAUUCCAUUGAUGAUUCCACUUUAGUGUACGUUUAGUCUUUUUAUCAUUCAUUUAUGUUCAUAUUUAAGGCUUUGUUAACAAUGGACGUUCACGAAACACCUUUUUGAUGUUCAUCUUAAUCCUUCAUAUGUUUUUUAAUCCACAAUUUCAAAGCGGAA